CCUACGGGAGGCAGCAGUGAGGAAUAUUGGUCAAUGGGCUUACGCCUGAACCAGCCAAGUCGCGUGAGGGAAGACUGCCCUAUGGGUUGUAAACCUCUUUUGUCAGGGAGCAACGCCGGCUACGUGUAGCCGGACUGAGAGUACCUGAAGAAAAAGCAUCGGCUAACUCCGUGCCAGCAGCCGCGGUAAUACGGAGGAUGCGAGCGUUAUCCGGAUUUAUGGGGUUUAAAGGGUGCGUAGGCGGAAUGCCAAGUCAGCGGUAAAAUCGCGGGGCUAAACCUCGCUCUGCCGUUGAAACUGGCGUGCUUGAGUCGGCGAGAAGUAGGCGGAAUGCGUGGUGUAGCGGUGAAAUGCUUAGAUAUGACGCAGAACUCCGAUUGCGAAGGCAGCAUGCCGGCGCCCAACUGACGCUGAAGCACGAAAGCGUGGGUAUCGAACAGGAUUAGAUACCCUUGUAGUC
This 460-nucleotide ribosomal RNA is filed under the name uncultured bacterium. RNAcentral describes it as "partial 16S ribosomal RNA". It matches the Rfam family "Bacterial small subunit ribosomal RNA", at positions 338 to 795 of the family's 1533-position model. The record is from RNAcentral.